GGCAGAGCGUAAAACAAGCCCCAGCCCUACUCCCGGCCCCCCAGCCCAGUCUUCCCAAUCCCAGAGGCCCCGGCGGCCUGUGCUCCUCACCACCCUGGUCAGGGGAAUAGAAGGAAAUGCAAUUUCCGCCUGUCUGCCCGACUUCCAAAAACUGCCUCCUCCUGCCCAGGCCUCUCCCACCACCACCUUCCCUCCAAAGAUAACCGUGUCCAUGCCAUCCGUGGCAUCAUCUCGAGUUUUCAUUUUUGGAUGAAGUGACAUUUAGCUUUAACAAGACAUUUCCAAAGCGCCUAGUCUCCUCCAAAAUGCUAACUUUAAAAGUUGGGCAUUGUAGGCGAAAAAUCCCAAAAAAAAAAAAAGACAAAAAAAAAAGGCUGGCGAGAGAAAGACAUUUGGCUAUGCAUAAAUGUGCACUUCCCCCAUGCCCCCGUUCUUAAACUCUUAAGAUGCCUUUGAGUUGCUUUUCAUGAAUCCUUUUAGUUUACCCGAUAAUGUUAAGAAAGCAUUAGUCUACGUUACUGUAAUUUCUGUAGUGUUUACGCUUUAAUUUCUACCACAAAAUAUGCUAUAUGCUAUGUAUCAAGCUUUCUGUAAUCAGAAAGAAAAGGUGCCUUAUAUCCCAAUGUCACGGCUACAUCCCUAUGGAAAUUAAUCAGAAGCACAGUGUGUACGGAAGCAUUGGGACUUCUGCUGGUGAAACAAGAGACCAUUCAGCAAGACACAUUGAAGUGGCACGGAGCUGCUUUUGUUUUAUAAUUCUUUUUUCCCCCCUUUUCCUUCUUCUUUUUUAUUAUUUUAUUAUUUUUUUUGUACUUUGCUUUAAACGGAAAGCACUUAAAUAGAUGACUAUGUGUAAAAGCUCUGUGCAAUUGAAAUCAUUUUUCUUCAUUUUAAAAAAAUAACGUAUUGCACACCAAAUGAACUCAAAGUAAGCUUUAGACCAGGACGAUUCAGGUUAUGAAUGAGUUUGUUCACUGUAGUUCCGUUUGUUCAUGAACCGAAGGGAAAACAGGCCUCCCCGACUCCCUCCAGUCUCCCAGCCUGCCUCUUGGUGACCACUGUGCUGGGCGUGCAGGGCCCGCGGGCUCUGGCCGGAGCCGCUGGCCUGACGAGGCAGGAUAGGGAGUAUCCGUGAUUCAGAAGCUGAGACCCUUCCCCAGUGUCUGAGGCCACAGCCAUCCCUUCCAGCACUUAAUCUUGUCUUGUUGAAAUGGACUGACUGCUACUGACCUGCCGGCGUGCGUGAGGGUGAUUAUAAAAGGAUGUUUCCUUGAGAAAAAAAAAAUUAUUUCUAUCCUCUUCUAUUUAUUAUUAGGUUAAUCAUUUAAGUACUUAUCAGGAGUGUAUUGUUAUUUUGUGUUUUGUUGUCAUAAAUGCUUUUUGCUGUCACUCUAGUGGUUACUAUCCUCUGCCUUCCUCUCCUCCCCUACUCCCCCAGAGAACCAAGGCGUCUGGGGGAUUGACUGGGGGGCAGAGGGGGUUUCCCCAGCAAAAUCAAACACCUGUCUCCAGAGUAGCCACUCAAAAACUGGUGGUCUCUAUGUGUCUAACUUUUUAAAUGAGAGUGUUUAUGAACAAAAAAAUUUACCAACGUGUGAGGGAGUUGCUGAGUUGAAGAAUGCUCGCUUGAGGAGCUUCAGAGGAAUCUUAGCAAAGCCAAGUUCAGUUCCCCAAAGCCUCCUAGAGCCUCUGGUAAGACUUCUGGGUUCAUGAAGUUUCGGCGAGCCGUGGUCAGAGAGGGCGCGGUGGCCUGGCCAAGACUUUACCUCCAAGCGAGAGAGUGAUUUCUUGCAAGGCCCGCAUGGGUUGAUACGUUUUGGUUGGUUUUUUGUUGUUGUUUUUCUUGCGUACAAAGUUGGUCAAAACCAUCUUUCAAAGCAACAGUGUUUUGUAGUACCAGGCUGUGGCUUGAGGGCUCACCUAGGAGAUCAUAGGCAGAGGGCCCCUUUCCCCUAUAGGUGGUUCAACGUGGAGGAAGGUUGGGUGUGGAGAUUGCUUGCUGUGGCCCCAAGCUCAGCCAGCAGGACACCCAGUUGUUGCCAAUCAGGUGUGAAGGUGAGGCGCCCUGCCUUGAUCCCAUGGGCCCAGCAGAAGGAAACUUACCCCAGGCCAAGGCAAGGGCCCUGCUCACCCCAAGGUAGGCUGGGAAGAGCAUCUCUUUCCAUAUCAUCACCUCCCCUUCUCCAAGAUUGCCGGGGGCCCUGAUUUUGUUCUCUCUUUGAAAGAAACCCUCCACCGAAACAAUGGUCCCCAUCUCCCCAGAAGCCUUUUUUUUUUUCAUUUUUCUCUAAUUAGUCUAUGCAUUUCUCUCUCUCAAACCAUCUUCUGCCUCUUCCCUUGAGAAAACGGGCAUCUCACGUACCCCCAUCUGAGACCUCUUGGAAAAAAAAAAUCCCGUGUAUUCUGGAGAUGUGAGAAUUCACCCAAAAUUCUUAAAACAUUGGAGAAUAGCUUGUUAUAAAAUAAAAGUGGGGGUAAAAAGAAGGUGGUUUUCCCCACAUCCCUUUGCAUUGAAUAAGAGACCUAGUUCUUUGCGUUUGUGCAAUAACUCUUUGCUGCUUGCCUUGAGAGCGGGUAGCACCACGCUCCUGUCCAGACUACUAACAGCACAAGACGCACUCACAGGGUGGCGGAAUCUUCCGGAAAACUCUCUAUAAGCUCAGCUCCCCCCACCCCACCCCCACUCUAGCGUUUUGUCACGUCUUACAUUUUAGCAGUAUUUUAUAUUUUCUGUAACGCACCAAGUCUUAGAUCUUUCUAGAGCUUGUUUGUUCAUCCUCACAAUCACAGAUUUUUUUCUCCAAUCCUCACAGAGACCCAAUUGACCAAAAAAGAAAAAAGGAAAAAAAAAAAGUCGUCUUUUUUUUUUUUUUUUGUACAAAUCGCUUUGAGAUGCCUCUGGUGUGUUGCUGUGUGACAUCUCUCUGGUAACAUUUUAUUUCUUGCUAUUUGUUUUUCUACAUUAAGAGUCAAAGUUGACCUGGCUGGCGUGGGGGUGGGGGAGGCACCCGUCGGCCCCUUGGUGUUGUCCCUCUGUCUUUGGUUAGCCAUACGAUGUUUGUUCUCAGCACUGUACAACGGUCCCUAUAUAAUACGGAGAAGCAAUAUCACUGUAUGAGACUCACACCAUGUAUUAUUAUUCACUAGCACCCUAGGUGUGAUAAUUGAAGUAAAUAUCUUUUAUACAAACACAA
This 3194-nucleotide long non-coding RNA is filed under the name Homo sapiens (human). Its description in RNAcentral is "non-protein coding lnc-SH2B2-2:1". Lineage: Eukaryota; Metazoa; Chordata; Mammalia; Primates; Hominidae. The record is from RNAcentral.